This 243-nucleotide ribosomal RNA is filed under the name uncultured bacterium. Its description in RNAcentral is "partial 16S ribosomal RNA". It matches the Rfam family "Bacterial small subunit ribosomal RNA", at positions 14 to 244 of the family's 1533-position model. The record is from RNAcentral.
GUAUCAUGGCUCAGGAUGAACGCUAGCUACAGGCUUAACACAUGCAAGUCGAGGGGGCGAGCAUGUUGGUUUGCUUGCAACCAACGAUGGCGACCGGCGCACGGGUGAGUAACGCGUAUCCAACCUACCCUUGUCCAUCGGAUAACCCGUCGAAAGGCGGCCUAACACGAUAUGCGGUUCUCAGCAGGCAUCUAACGAGAACGAAAUAUAAAGGAGAAAGGAUGGGGGAUGGCGUCUGAUUAG